ACGAGUCCCUUACCAGCACAGACCGGCCUAUAGGAGCCCGCCUUCCAAGCUGGCCAUGCCGGUUCGAUCCCGGUCACCCGUGCCA
This 85-nucleotide transfer RNA is filed under the name Geodermatophilus normandii. RNAcentral describes it as "tRNA-Gly". The record is from RNAcentral. Lineage: Bacteria; Bacillati; Actinomycetota; Actinomycetes; Geodermatophilales; Geodermatophilaceae.